RNAcentral lists this transfer RNA (72 nucleotides) under Bos taurus (domestic cattle). It matches the Rfam family "tRNA". Rfam says of the family: Transfer RNA (tRNA) molecules are approximately 80 nucleotides in length. Their secondary structure includes four short double-helical elements and three loops (D, anti-codon, and T loops). Further hydrogen bonds mediate the characteristic L-shaped molecular structure. tRNAs have two regions of fundamental functional importance: the anti-codon, which is responsible for specific mRNA codon recognition, and the 3' end, to which the tRNAs corresponding amino acid is attached (by aminoacyl-tRNA synthetases). tRNAs cope with the degeneracy of the genetic code in two manners: having more than one tRNA (with a specific anti-codon) for a particular amino acid; and 'wobble' base-pairing, i.e. permitting non-standard base-pairing at the 3rd anti-codon position. Lineage: Eukaryota; Metazoa; Chordata; Mammalia; Artiodactyla; Bovidae. RNAcentral also lists the same sequence under 5 other names. The record is from Rfam by way of RNAcentral.
UUCCUGGUGGCUCAGAGGGUAAAGAAUCUGCCUGCAAUGCAGGAGACCCAGGUUUGAUCCCUGGGUGGGGAA